RNAcentral lists this ribosomal RNA (502 nucleotides) under uncultured bacterium. RNAcentral's name for it is "bacterial SSU rRNA". It matches the Rfam family "Bacterial small subunit ribosomal RNA", at positions 28 to 528 of the family's 1533-position model. The record is from RNAcentral.
GACGAACGCUGGCGGCGUGCCUAACACAUGCAAGUCGAGGGGUAGAAUUAGCUUGCUAAUUUGAGACCGGCGCACGGGUGCGUAACGCGUAUGCAAUCUACCUUGUACAGGGGGAUAGCCCAGAGAAAUUUGGAUUAAUACUCCAUGGUAUAAUUGAAUCGCAUGGUUUGAUUAUUAAAGUUCCAACGGUACAAGAUGAGCAUGCGUCCCAUUAGCUAGUUGGUGUGGUAACGGCAUACCAAGGCGACGAUGGGUAGGGGUCCUGAGAGGGAGAUCCCCCACACUGGUACUGAGACACGGACCAGACUCCUACGGGAGGCAGCAGUGAGGAAUAUUGGUCAAUGGUCGGAAGACUGAACCAGCCAUGCCGCGUGCAGGAAGACGGUCCUAUGGAUUGUAAACUGCUUUUGUACGGGAAGAAACACUCCUUCGUGAAGGAGCUUGACGGUACCGUAAGAAUAAGGAUCGGCUAACUCCGUGCCAGCAGCCGCGGUAAUCUCGU